AGAAGUAAUGUCCGCUGCAGUGCAAUCAGCAGCACCUGUGCUUCUCCUACUACCACCUCAAGACAACAUGUCUGCAGACGGCUGGACAUGUUGACAUUAGAGCGGAUGAACUCAUGGAUUUAUGAUGAUGUGCUUCAUGAAGACGUGUGGAGGACGUUAUGAGGUGUGAGCGGGCUGUGAUGACCAUCUGAACGCUGUUCCUCACCUGUCUGCUUGAGUGUGCCCCAUCAUACAGAUUGGUGCAUCUCGGAUGCGUUUGGGGGAGUGAGUUCCAGUGGCCGGGGACAGCUAUGGAGAAUGCCCCGUCUCCUCAGGUCCAGGGCUUGGUUCUUAGUGCUGGAGACAGGAGGUUGGCAUCACAGGAGCUGAGACUGCAGGAAGGAGUGUGGCGGUGGAGCGGACUCCACGAAGAAGAACUCGGAGCCUUCCAGCCAGCACACUGACGAGGACCUGCGUAAGCUCAGGAGGAGGCGCAGCCGAAGUCAGCGGCGGAGGAGACGGUUCCGGGCGAGUCGGGCUCCAGCUUCAGCGCGGGCCAGAGGCUGACGGCGCGGAGCAGUACUCCACUCUGCGUUAGAGCGGGGCACUAUAUCGGCGCAGUCUGGGACGCGUUUGGAGAGCGACUUCCAGAGGGACGGAACAGCUACGGAGAACGCUCCGUCGCCGCAGGUCUCGGUUCUCAGAGGCGGAGCCGGGAGGUCGGCAUCACGGUAAGU
Sebastes umbrosus (honeycomb rockfish) is the source of this 716-nucleotide long non-coding RNA. RefSeq lists it as uncharacterized. NCBI's taxonomy places the organism in Eukaryota, Metazoa, Chordata, Actinopteri, Perciformes, Sebastidae. The record is from RefSeq and is a predicted model, not a curated record. The transcript is spliced from 6 exons.